This 168-nucleotide ribosomal RNA is filed under the name uncultured freshwater bacterium. RNAcentral describes it as "partial 16S ribosomal RNA". It matches the Rfam family "Bacterial small subunit ribosomal RNA", at positions 373 to 524 of the family's 1533-position model. The record is from RNAcentral.
AGGCCAGUACUGCGUCGCAGCCUGAUCAGCAUGCCGCGUGAGUGAAGAAGGCCUUCGGGUUGUAAAGCUCUUUUGUCAGGGAAGAUACGGUGGGGGCGAAUAACUUCUACUAAUGACGGUACCUGAAGAAUAAGCACCGGCUAACUACGUGCCAGCAGCCGCGGUAAU